RNAcentral lists this ribosomal RNA (452 nucleotides) under uncultured bacterium. Its description in RNAcentral is "bacterial SSU rRNA". It matches the Rfam family "Bacterial small subunit ribosomal RNA", at positions 340 to 786 of the family's 1533-position model. The record is from RNAcentral.
UACGGAAGGCAGCAGUGGGGAAUAUUGCACAAUGGGCGCAAGCCUGAUGCAGCCAUGCCGCGUGUAUGAAAAAGGCCUUCGGGUUGUAAAGUACUUUCAGUCGUGAGGAAGGUGUUAAGGUUAAUAACCUUAGCAAUUGACGUUAGCGACAGAAGAAGCACCGGCUAACUCCGUGCCAGCAGCCGCGGUAAUACGGAGGGUGCGAGCGUUAAUCGGAAUUACUGGGCGUAAAGGGCACGCAGGCGGUUAAUUAAGUUGGAUGUGAAAUCCCCGGGCUUAACCUGGGAAUGGCAUUCAAGACUGGUUAGCUAGAGUCUUGUAGAGGGGGUAGAAUUCCAUGUGUAGCGGUGAAAUGCGUAGAGAUGUGGAGGAAUACCGGUGCGAAGGCGGCCCCUGGACAAAGACUGACGCUCAUGUGCGAAAGCGUGGGGAGCAAACAGGGAUUAGAUACC